Molecule: long non-coding RNA, 2435 nt
Filed under: Homo sapiens (human)
Lineage: Eukaryota; Metazoa; Chordata; Mammalia; Primates; Hominidae
Description: HSALNT0146486
Source: RNAcentral
CACACACACUCUCUGAGCAUAAGCUGCUAGCCAGACUCCCUCUCCCCAUUUUCUGCCAACAUUUCAGAUACUUCCUUGAGGUCUGUUCUCAGAGCUCCUGACAAUUUGUGGUGUUUAGUGACAGAACUGUUACUUUCACAUUUCUUGCUGUUUUAAUGAGACUAUCUGUAGCUAAGAAAAGUGACAUGGUGGCUGGUCCCCUCCCUGGCUCACUGCUGGUCAGCAUUGCCCUUGCUACUUCCAGCCUGCCCUGAAUAUUCCCAUCUCUGCCCAAUAGCGACUACCGAUUUUCUCAAGAUUUGGAGGAUAUGAAAUUUACUCAUCUUAGAAGAGAACUGGACAUCGUAAACCAAAAAAGAUAUUUUAAACAGUCAACAUUUAACCCAAAGGAAUACAUCUUUAAUGCCAUGUAGGGCAUGCCUCCUUCUUCUUUGCCUUCUGCCAUGAUAGUAAGUUUCCUGAAGACUCCCAGCCAUGCCUCCUGUACAGCCUGGGGAACUGUGCAAUAAGCACAAUGAUCAGUCAUUUCUGAGCCAGCUCCUUUACUUGAUAUCACUCCAUUAAAAGUCAGGCCAUCCAUCCUGACAUAUGCAGAUUUGAAGAUGAUGUGGGAGAGGAAAGAAAGGGCGAGGAAAUUUAUGUUCUAUCCUCAGAAGCUGACUCACGGACCAAGCAGGUAGAACUAAGGGGUCUUUCCACAGCAAACCUGAGAAAUACUGACAUAAAAAUAUCUCUGGACUGGACCCAAGAUUCAGAAGAACUGCAUUCAAGCCCCAGCUUCACCAAAAUACCAUCCUCUGCUACACAGAAGCUGCCCCUCGGGCAAAGUCUCAAAGGAGAGGUACAAGAGGGACAGGGAAGCUGCAAGGCGGGAAGCAAACCCCUAGCGGAGAGAACAGUCUAUGCUACCAUGACAAAGAGGCAUUAAUCAGCUUGGUGCUGGGUAACUUCAAGUGGCUUCGUGUUGCUGGAGCGUUGGAUACGUCAAACACCAAGGACAAAGCACGAGAGGGGAGCACAAUAAAACUACUGUCUGCCUAAGACCUGCUCCUGUCUGCCACAGAGCCCUUUGAAAGCCUGGUUGAGUUGGGCUUUCUUCUGUAAGUCUGCAGUCUUUAAAUUUACUCUGUUCAUUACCCGCUAAAUCACUGAAAAUCUGUCUGCCUGAUGUCUGCAACUUACUUUGAACUGCAUGGAAGAACAACGUGGGUUUAUGGAUACGUAGAUGAAUAGCUAGGUAAAAAGAUAUGCAAUAAGGCAAAUAUAUUGAAAAGUUUAGCCAGGCACGGUGGCUCAUGCCUGUAAUCCCAGCACUUUGGGAGGCUGAGGCGGGCAGAUCACCUGAGGUCGGGAGUUCAAGACCAGCCUGACCAACAUGGAGAAACCCCAUGUCUACUAAAAAUACAAAAUUAGCCUGGCAUGGUAGUACAUGCCUGUAAUCUCAGCUACUCAGGAGGCUGAGGCAGGAGAAUUGCUUGAACCUGGGAGGCAGAGGUUGCAGUGAGCCAAGAUCGUGCCAUUGCACUCCAGCCUGGGCAACAACAGCAAAACUCCAUUUCCAAAAGCAAAGUUUAUAGACUCUCAAUGGUGCAUAUGUGAAAGUUCACUAUACAAUUCUUUGAUCCUCUCUGUAUUUUUAAACUUUUUUUCAUCAUAAAAAUGUUAUGGGAGAAAACACUAUAUGCCUGUCAUCUAUUUAAGGUUUUUCAUCACAGGUUUACUUUUUUUUAGACAAAAGGACAUAGAAAAUGUUAAACAUUUUAUAAAAUGAAAUAAGAUGAGAAUUGACUAUUUAAGAAACAAGUAUUACAUUUUAGGUAUCAAAAAAUCAAUUUUUAACUACCUUGCUAUAAAGCACACUGAAUCUGAGAGAAAUCAUAUAAAUUAUUUAUCCUUAGUUUUUAUACAAUUAUCUUGAAAAUGUGAUACUCUUCCAGAACACUCCAGUUACAUUUGAAAGAAUCAUAAUCAUUAAGCUUUACCAUUCCAUCUGGUUUGUAUUCAGACCAUCCCAACUCCAGCCAAAUCCAAGCUCUACCCUUAACGGAGAGAUGUAUAAGACAGGAAACACAGGAAGCCCAAUGGGAUCAAGGUGUCACAAAAACAAGAAAACUUCCCUAAAAACCAAGAUUUCUGGCCAGGCGUGGUGGCUCACACCUGUAAUCCCAGCACUUUGGGAGGCCGAGGCAGGCCAAUCACCUGAGGUCAGGAGUUCGAGACCAGCCUGGCCAACAUGGUGAAACCCCGUCUCUACAAAAGAUACAAAAUUAGCCGGGUGUCAUGGUACAUGCCUGUAAUCCCAGCUACUCCGGAGACUGAGGCAGGACAAUCACUUAGAACCCAGGAAGUGGAGUGAGCAGAGAUCACGCUACUGUGCUCCAGCCUAGGUGAUAGAGCGAGUCUCGGUCUCAAAAAAAUAAAUAAAAUAAAACCAA